This 262-nucleotide ribosomal RNA is filed under the name uncultured archaeon. RNAcentral describes it as "partial 16S ribosomal RNA". It matches the Rfam family "Archaeal small subunit ribosomal RNA", at positions 748 to 1008 of the family's 1478-position model. The record is from RNAcentral.
CAGCCGUAAACAAUGUGCGUUAGGUAUGUCGGUAACCACGUGUUACUGAUGUGCCGAAGAGAAAUCGUGAAACGCACCACCUGGGAAGUACGGUCGCAAGGCUGAAACUUAAAGGAAUUGGCGGGGGGAGCACCACAACAGGUGGAGCCUGCGGUUUAAUUGGAUUCAACGCCGGACAUCUCACCGGAUAAGACAGCUGAAUGAAAGCCGAGUUGAAGACUCUGCUAGAUUUUCAGAGAGGAGGUGCAUGGCGUCAGUGACU